GAUAAUUGACGCCGUUCCUACAAUCAUUAGUGAGGAAAUGAAAAUUUUCUACUUCCGCUAUCCCUGUCGUCCCAGUCAACUUGUUGCCGCAAAGACAAAAAAAGACAAGGAAUAACCAUGGCCGGUGAUUUCGUUCCCGAGUCUGAGCUGAAUCUCAAGGGCUGGCAAAGAUACUUCAACACUUACACACUGAGAGGGAGAUUCAAUUGGGUUGCAGCAACAUAUGGAUCAGUCUUUGGAACAGUUAUAUUAUACAAGUUGCUCAAAGGGAAGCCCAAAGCUGUUGCUAGUAAAUAGGAUGCCAGUUUCUUGUUUCAGCUGUGUGAUGUACUUUUAGUAGUAUGUUGUCUUUAAAUGUGGGUGUGUAAUUUGAGAGAGUAUAACAUGUUGAAGUGUCUUUAUGAUAAGUUUGAACAGAUUUGUGUCCUUAGGCCAAAGGUUAGUUGUCCUCAACAAGGAAGUAACCUUAUAAAAUUUCGUCACAUUUUUGGUGAAAAUUGUUUUGUACACUUAUUAUAAAAACAACCACCAGACAGAAUGGAGUAAUAAACAUCUACCCUGAUCAUUUGCUUA
Molecule: long non-coding RNA, 573 nt
Filed under: Aplysia californica (California sea hare)
Lineage: Eukaryota; Metazoa; Mollusca; Gastropoda; Aplysiida; Aplysiidae
Description: uncharacterized LOC101864675, transcript variant X1
Source: RNAcentral